RNAcentral lists this transfer RNA (85 nucleotides) under Algoriphagus sp. RNAcentral describes it as "tRNA-Leu". It matches the Rfam family "tRNA". Rfam says of the family: Transfer RNA (tRNA) molecules are approximately 80 nucleotides in length. Their secondary structure includes four short double-helical elements and three loops (D, anti-codon, and T loops). The record is from RNAcentral. Lineage: Bacteria; Pseudomonadati; Bacteroidota; Cytophagia; Cytophagales; Cyclobacteriaceae. RNAcentral also lists the same sequence under 2 other names.
GCCGGGAUGGUGGAAUAGGUAGACACGCAAGACUUAAAAUCUUGUGGCCAAAUCGGCCGUGCGGGUUCGAUUCCCGCUCCUGGUA